UACGAAGGGGGCUAGCGUUGCUCGGAAUCACUGGGCGUAAAGCGCACGUAGGCGGAUUUCUAAGUCAGGGGUGAAAUCCUGGAGCUCAACUCCAGAACUGCCUUUGAUACUGGGAAUCUCGAGUCCGGGAGAGGUGAGUGGAACUGCGAGUGUAGAGGUGAAAUUCGUAGAUAUUCGCAGGAACACCAGUGGCGAAGGCGGCUCACUGGCCCGGUACUGACGCUGAGGUGCGAAAGCGUGGGGAGCAAACAGG
RNAcentral lists this ribosomal RNA (253 nucleotides) under uncultured bacterium. RNAcentral describes it as "partial 16S ribosomal RNA". It matches the Rfam family "Bacterial small subunit ribosomal RNA", at positions 524 to 776 of the family's 1533-position model. The record is from RNAcentral.